UGGAUCCAGACCUUUAUUAUGGCUCAGGAUGAACGCCGGCGGUGUGCCUAAUACAUGCAAGUCGAGCGCACUGGCCCAACUAAUAUGACGUGCUUGCACUGAAUUGACGUUGGAUUACCAGUGAGCGGCGGACGGGUGAGUAACACGUGGGCAACCUGCCCUGAAGCGGGGGAUAACAUCUGGAAACAGGUGCUAAUACCGCAUAACAACGAAAACCACAUGGUUUUCGUUUCAAAGAUGGUUUCGGCUAUCACUUCAGGAUGGGCCCGCGGUGCAUUAGCUAGUUGGCAAGGUAACGGCUUACCAAGGCGAUGAUGCAUAGCCGAGUUGAGAGACUGAUCGGCCACAAUGGAACUGAGACACGGUCCAUACUCCUACGGGAGGCAGCAGUAGGGAAUCUUCCACAAUGGGCGCAAGCCUGAUGGAGCAACACCGCGUGAGUGAAGAAGGGUUUCGGCUCGUAAAGCUCUGUUGUUGGAGAAGAACGUGCGUGAGAGUAACUGUUCACGCAGUGACGGUAUCCAACCAGAAAGUCACGGCUAACUACGUGCCAGCAGCCGCGGUAAUACGUAGGUGGCAAGCGUUAUCCGGAUUUAUUGGGCGUAAAGCGAGCGCAGGCGGUUGCUUAGGUCUGAUGUGAAAGCCUUCGGCUUAACCGAAGAAGUGCAUCGGAAACCGGGCGACUUGAGUGCAGAAGAGGACAGUGGAACUCCAUGUGUAGCGGUGGAAUGCGUAGAUAUAUGGAAGAACACCAGUGGCGAAGGCGGCUGUCUGGUCUGCAACUGACGCUGAGGCUCGAAAGCAUGGGUAGCGAACAGGAUUAGAUACCCUGGUAGUCCAUGCCGUAAACGAUGAGUGCUAGGUGUUGGAGGGUUUCCGCCCUUCAGUGCCGGAGCUAACGCAUUAAGCACUCCGCCUGGGGAGUACGACCGCAAGGUUGCAACUCAAAGGAAUUGACGGA
This 961-nucleotide ribosomal RNA is filed under the name uncultured Bacillota bacterium. RNAcentral's name for it is "bacterial SSU rRNA". It matches the Rfam family "Bacterial small subunit ribosomal RNA", at positions 1 to 917 of the family's 1533-position model. Lineage: Bacteria; Bacillati; Bacillota. The record is from RNAcentral.